GAGGGUUCCGAGUGGCCUCGGGGUGGGCUGUGCCGGAGUCUCCUCCCUUUGGCCGGCCGCAGGUUGGUGGCGGGAGCGGGGGACAGCUGAGAGCGCGGGGAGGGGGCCCUCUGCGCUGGGCCAUGGCCGAACCCGGAAGCCGGGAGCCCGAGACUGGGACCUGCAGCCCCGGUGUCGCCGCCGCCAUGGCCUCGCAGCAGCUCUUCCGCGCGCUCGUGUCGGCGCAGUGGGUGGCCGAAGCGCUCCGGGCCCCGCGGGCCGGGCAGCCCCUGCAGCUGCUCGACGCCUCCUGGUACCUGCCCAAGCUGGGCCGCGACGCGCACCGCGAGUUCGAGGAGCGACACAUCCCGGGCUCCGCCUUCUUUGACAUCGACCAGUGCAGCGACCGCACGUCGCCCUACGACCACAUGCUGCCCAGGGCUGCGCACUUUGCCGAGUACGCGGGCCGCCUGGGCGUGAGCGCCUCUACCCACGUCGUGGUCUACGACGCCAGCGAUCAGGGCCUCUACUCGGCGCCGCGUGUCUGGUGGAUGUUCCGCGCCUUCGGCCACCGCACCGUGUCGCUUCUCGACGGCGGCCUCCGCAACUGGUUGCGCCAGGGCCUCCCGCUGAGUGCAGGCAAGAGCCGCCCAGAGCCCUCAGAGUUCCACGCGGUGCUGGACCCCGCCUACGUCAAGACGUACGAGGACAUCAAGGAGAACCUCGAAUCCCGGCGCUUCCAGGUGGUGGACGCCCGCGCCGCUGGCCGCUUCCAGGGCACCGAGCCCGAGCCCCGAGAAGGCAUCGAACCCGGCCACAUCCCUGGCACUAUCAACAUCCCCUUCACGGAAUUCAUGACCAAGGAGGGCUUGGAGAAGAGCCCCGAGGAGAUCCGCCGCCUCUUCCAGGACAAGAAGGUGGACCUGUCCCAGCCCCUCGUGGCCACGUGCGGCUCCGGCGUCACAGCCUGUCAUGUGGCACUGGGGGCCUACCUCUGCGGCAAGCCCGAUGUGCCCCUCUAUGACGGCUCCUGGGUGGAGUGGUACAUGCGCGCCCAGCCCGAGGAUGUCAUCUCCGAGGGCCGGGGGAAGACCCACUGAGGCUUGGCGGGACACAGGAAGCUCGGGUGACACCCAGCCACCAGCAGUGCCCAGCCUGGUGGUUCUGACUCUGCUUUGACCAGUAUAGGGUUUCUUCCUCCAACCCAGCUGGUGCAUAGGGUGACAUCCCAGAGGCCAGCAAUUCCGCUGCCUCGUGGGCUCUCAGUGGAGGCAGCAGAGAAGGUGGUGGCGGGAACAGGGGGAGGGGAGCUGCCCACGUGAUGCUGAGCUGGAGCCCCACCUCCCCUCUAUUGAGGAAAUAAAACAGUCAAGUUCUAAAUCCUUCUAACUGAGGCUGCCUCAGCUUUCCUCGGCUCUUUGGCCAGUGGUUCCAACAUGCCCAGCAAGGGAGCUUCGUGGAGCCGGAGGGUCUUGAGGACGCUGUCCCUGCCUUCUGAGCGGUGCUGGGGUCCCAGAGCCCUUCCAGUCCUGUGACUGAAUGUCUCCCAGCGAACUGUCUUCUAUUUCUACUUCUAUGGCUGGGGUCUCCCUUCUGGCUUCUGGGCGAUUUAAGGUGCAUCUGCUGUGCUCUGUCUGGAAUCACACCCAAACACCCCCUGCAGGCAGGAACUUGCAACAUCGGACAACGGGGAUGAUGAAAUUUUUGUCUACUUGGCAAAUAUUUGCUGAGCACCCCCUCGGUGUCAGGAACAGAAGAUUGCCGGCCUUGUCUCACCAGCUGCACUGGAUUGUGUCCACUCCCUGGCUCGCUGCCUCCAGGGAUCACGGCCCGAAGAAGCCCCCACCCCACAUAGUGGGCUGAACAACAGAGCAAUGCACUUAUUUGGUCCUGGCACUGCUCAAGGCCUCCUUCCAGUCGGGGCCUCAGUCAUCUCAUCUGGAAAAUGGGAGCAAACUGCCCUGUCACACCCAGGGUGGGUGUGAUGUCAGAUAAGGGAAAGCUCUAAGGCGUUUUCUAUUGUAGGUCAUUCCUACUGGAAAUAACCCCAGCUAGUCAUUAUAUAAGCAGCACGGAGCUUAUUAUCCUUAACACAUGGAGAAUGAGUCAUUCAGGAGAAGAUGAAAUUUUCAGGUUAACUGAAGCUUUAUAAUUUUAAGCACCCCCAAAUUUAACAGAGGGUGGGACACAGUGUACUGAGGUUACCCGAACUCUCUGUAGCUCUGUUUCAUCACUUUAUUGUGGCCGCAGUUUGCCCCUAAGCUAAAUGGCCCCCAUUGCUGUGACUUUCCAGUCCUCGAAUCCUUGCAACUCCACAUCAUCCUUGCCAACUGUCCUUCCCAGUUACUAUCUGUGUUCUGCAGAGUCUCCACCUGCUUCUAGGUGGGCCCACUCCCCUGGUAUAAUGCCCCCUAUUCUAGGCCUUAAACCGCUGUGUUGAACCAGGGCUUCCAGCAGCCUGCUGGGCCCCUCACCCUGGUCCUCUAUCCAUGUCCCCUGUCUCAGUGUGCAUGGCCACCACACAGGGGUCACCUGUGCCCAGACCCGGCAGCCAGUUCUCCAGAUUUGGUCUCCCUUCCCCACAGCCAGUCAACACCCAGGCCCGUGAUUUCCACCUCUAUUCCCACUGCCUUGAUCCGAGUCACCGCCACCCCGCCCCCCGGCCCCGUGCCCAAGACACAUAGAUGCAACCUGUCCAAUUGUUAAUUCCAGCACACACCCACAGGGACAGGCCCUGUACCAGGAUCUGGGGCAUGGAGGAUAAGGACAGACUCUGAGGGGGGAAUUGUCCUAGUGGAGGGGAGCGGACAGACAGACCAUGGCAGGUGUGGCGAGGGGUAUCAGAGAUGAAAUGGAACAGGAGAGGGUGGAGCCGGUUGUUCUGGGUCUGAGAAGCAGCUCUGCACAGGCCAGUAGCCCCUUUCUGAAUCCCCUGGACCAUUCCGCCUCACUCCAUGCAGAGAAGCAGCAGGGGAUAGGGUUCAAAGCACAGCCUCUGGAGGGAUCUGGACCUCCAGCUCCCUGGCUGUGAGUGUGCUUUGAUUUCCUCAUCUGUAAUGGAAUAAUCCAGUACCCACCUUACAGGAUCAGAUUCAUACAAGCACUGAGAACAGAGCCUGAACAGUAAGCCCUACAUACAUGCAUUAUUCAUUGCUAAGAUUCUGUCCUCAGGUCGCUCCUGCCUCCCUGUGCUGGCCUAGACGCCUUGAGAGUAACAUAUUUUAUUCAUGGUUCUCUUCCUGGCCCAGCACAGUGACAGGUCAGGGCUUCACAGAUGUUUGACGUAUACAUAUUCAUUUAUUUAUAUUUUGACCUCGCUGCAUGGCAUGUGGGAUCUUAGUUCCCUGUGCCCCCUGCAGUGGAAGCACAGAUUCUUAACCACUGGACCUCCAGGGAAGUCCCUGUUUGACAUAUACAUAAAUAUCCCGGCCAGGCUAAGAAAGACCCUAAUAAUCCCUCUUUACCUAGCACUUUCCACGUCCAGGGAGGAUGCUAAGUGUUCUGUACCCACUUAAUCCAACAACCCUGAGAAAUGGGUGUUAUUAUAUCCCCUAUUUUACAGGUAAGGAAGAUGGUGGCUUAGAGAGGUCAGGUGACUUGAGGUCCCAGGAAGGGUAGGGCUGGGAUUGGAAUUCUGGAUGGAAUGAUUUCAUCAUUGUGAGACAGAACUGGGGAGGGG
This is a non-coding RNA of Globicephala melas (long-finned pilot whale), 3658 nucleotides long. NCBI's taxonomy places the organism in Eukaryota, Metazoa, Chordata, Mammalia, Artiodactyla, Delphinidae. The record is from RefSeq and is a predicted model, not a curated record.